RNAcentral lists this signal recognition particle RNA (316 nucleotides) under Nitrososphaerota archaeon. Its description in RNAcentral is "Thaumarchaeota archaeon signal recognition particle sRNA". It matches the Rfam family "Archaeal signal recognition particle RNA". The record is from RNAcentral. Lineage: Archaea; Thermoproteati; Nitrososphaerota.
CGGUGGGUAGGGCCGGAAGGGUAGCCGUCUUCCAGAAAUGCUGAAACCGGCUUCACGCAGCGGCCAGUAACCUUCGGGUAAAGCCAUCUUCCUCGUCACCCGCGCCGGGCAGGGAAGACGAACUCACGCCGAGGUGGGCGGUCACGAGGGGCAGCCCUCUCGAAGGAGAGGGCCUGACUCUUCAUUGCCGAAACGGGCGAGGUCCGGGAGGGAGCAGCCCUAUGGCGACGUGACCACGCUGCCUCGUCUACGUGGGGGAUUCCCCGUCCGACGAGAUGGGAGCGGAGAGUGAUGGUGAACUCCGGAGGAGCCGCCG